RNAcentral lists this non-coding RNA (152 nucleotides) under Sinobacterium norvegicum. Lineage: Bacteria; Pseudomonadati; Pseudomonadota; Gammaproteobacteria; Cellvibrionales; Spongiibacteraceae. The record is from RNAcentral.
GUUCCGCCCACUGUAUAAGGUGCCGUCUGACAGAGAAUACUGCGACGGACUCAGGGAAUUAGGUACCGACAUUGGUCGAACUCCUAGGCUGCCCCCGCAACGGUAUGUGUGAAAACACAAGCCCGGAACCUGCCCUUAACAGCGAUGCAAAC